This 1281-nucleotide ribosomal RNA is filed under the name Corynebacterium striatum. RNAcentral's name for it is "partial 23S ribosomal RNA". It matches the Rfam family "Bacterial large subunit ribosomal RNA", at positions 1 to 1245 of the family's 2925-position model. Lineage: Bacteria; Bacillati; Actinomycetota; Actinomycetes; Mycobacteriales; Corynebacteriaceae. The record is from RNAcentral.
UGUUCGUUAUUUAGGGCGCAUGGUGGAUGCCUUGGCAUGCUGAGCCGAUGAAGGACGUGAAAGGCUGCGUUAAGCCUCGGGGAGUUGUCAAUUGAGCGUUGAUCCGAGGAUGUCCGAAUGGGGAAACCUGGCACCUGUUAUGGGGUGUUACCCUUCAGUGAAUUCAUAGCUGUUGUGGGGGUUACGCGGGGAAGUGAAACAUCUCAGUACCCGUAGGAGAAGAAAAUAAUAAUGAUUCUGCUAGUAGUGGCGAACGAACGUGGAUGAGGCUAAACCGUGUGCAUGUGAUACCUGGUAGGGGUUGUGUGUGCGGUGUUGUGGGCCCUGAUGAGGAUGGCUACUGACGUCCUGCCCGCGCAUUGUUGUUAGGUGAAGUGGUGUGGAAACGCCUGCCGUAGAAGGUGAUAGUCCUGUAGCUGAAGAUGAUGGUGUGUGGGUUGUUGGGUUGCCCGAGUAGCAGCGGGCUCGUGGAAUCUGCUGUGAAUCUGCCGGGACCACCCGGUAAGCCUAAAUACUCAGUGUGACCGAUAGUGGAUAGUACCGUGAGGGAAUGGUGAAAAGUACCCCGGGAGGGGAGUGAAAUAGUUCCUGAAACCAUGUGCUUACAAUCCGUCAGAGCACUUUUUGUGUGUGAUGGCGUGCCUUUUGAAGAAUGAGCCUGCGAGUCAGCGGCAUGUCGCGAGGUUAACCCGUGUGGGGUAGCCGUAGGGAAACCGAAUCCUAAUGGGGUGUUUAGUGGCAUGUCCUGGACCCGAAGCGGGGUGAUCUACCCAUGGCCAGUGUGAAGCAGCAGUAAGAUGCUGUGGAGGCGCGAACCCACGUAGGUUGAAAACUGCGGGGAUGAGCUGUGGGUAGGGGUGAAAGGCCAAUCAAACUCCGUGAUAGCUGGUUCUCCCCGAAAUGCAUUUAGGUGCAGCGUCGCAUUAGCUUGGUGGAGGUAGAGCUACUGGUUGGUUGAGCGGGACUACAAUCUUAGCAAUGUCAGCCAAACUCCGAAUGCCAUUAAUGUGUUGUGCGGCAGUGAGACUGUGGGGGAUAAGCUUCAUAGUCGAGAGGGAAACAGCCCAGAUCGCCGGUUAAGGCCCCUAAGGGUGUGCUAAGUGGAAAAGGAUGUGGGAUCGCGAAGACAGCCAGGAGGUUGGCUUAGAAGCAGCCAUCCUUGAAAGAGUGCGUAAUAGCUCACUGGUCGAGUGGUUCUGCGCCGACAAUGUAGUGGGGCUCAAGCACACCGCCGAAGCCGCGGCAAUAAUAUUUUGUUAUUGGGUAGGGGAGCGUCGUGCA